GGUUUCCGUAGGUGACCUGCGGAGGWCAUUA
Molecule: ribosomal RNA, 31 nt
Filed under: Armillaria sp. 5 TG-2016
Lineage: Eukaryota; Fungi; Basidiomycota; Agaricomycetes; Agaricales; Physalacriaceae
Description: partial small subunit ribosomal RNA
Source: RNAcentral